RNAcentral lists this ribosomal RNA (448 nucleotides) under uncultured bacterium. RNAcentral describes it as "bacterial SSU rRNA". It matches the Rfam family "Bacterial small subunit ribosomal RNA", at positions 355 to 825 of the family's 1533-position model. The record is from RNAcentral.
UCGGGAAUUUUGGGCAAUGGGCGAAAGCCUGACCCAGCAACGCCGCGUGAAGGAUGAAGUAUUUCGGUAUGUAAACUUCGUAAGAAUAGGAAGAAUAAAUGACGGUACUAUUUGUAAGGUCCGGCUAACUACGUGCCAGCAGCCGCGGUAAUACGUAGGGACCAAGCGUUGUUCGGAUUUACUGGGCGUAAAGGGCGCGUAGGCGGUUUAACAAGUCAGGCGUGAAAGCCCCGGGCUCAACCCGGGAAUAGCGUUUGAGACUGUUUUUCUAAGAGUUCGGAAGAGGUAAGUGGAAUUCCCAAUGUAGCAGUGAAAUGCGUAGAUAUUGGGAAGAACACCAGUGGCGAAGGCGGCUUACUGGUCCGACACUGACGCUGAGGCGCGAAAGCCAGGGGAGCAAACGGGAUUAGAUACCCGCGUAGUCCCUGAGCGGGCUGGCAAGGCGCAU